CGUGGAGACAGGUGGUGCGUGGCUGUCGUCAGCUCGUGUCGUGAGAUGUUGGGUUAAGUCCCGCAACGAGCGCAACCCUCACCUCUUGUUGCCAUCAGGUCAUGCUGGGCACUCUAGAGGAACUGCCCCGGUCAACGGGGAGGAAGGCGGGGAUGACGUCAAGUCAUCAUGCCCCUUACGUCCUGGGCUACACACGUGCUACAAUGGCCGGUACAAAGGGAUGCCACACCGCGAGGUAGAGCUAAACCCAAAAAGCCGGUCUAAGUUCAGAUUGGAGUCUGCAACUCGACUCCAUGAAGGAGGAAUCGCUAGUAAUCGCGUAUCAGCACGACGCGGUGAAUACGUUCCCGGGCCUUGUACACACCGCCCGUCACACCACGAAGGCCUGCUGUACUCGAAGUCGCUGAG
Molecule: ribosomal RNA, 408 nt
Filed under: uncultured Methylomirabilota bacterium
Lineage: Bacteria; Methylomirabilota (SeqCode)
Description: bacterial SSU rRNA
Rfam family: Bacterial small subunit ribosomal RNA
Source: RNAcentral